Molecule: ribosomal RNA, 224 nt
Filed under: uncultured bacterium
Lineage: Bacteria
Description: partial 16S ribosomal RNA
Rfam family: Bacterial small subunit ribosomal RNA
Source: RNAcentral
UAACACGUAAGUAAUCUACCUUCGAGUGGGGAAUAACAUCGGGAAACCGAUGCUAAUACCGCAUAAUGCAGCGGCAUCGCAAGAUGACAGUUGUUAAAGAUUUAUCGCUUGAAGAGGAGCUUGCGGCAGAUUAGCUAGUUGGUAAGGUAAUGGCUUACCAAGGCUACGAUCUGUAACCGGUCUAAGAGGACGGUCGGUCACACUGACACUGAAUAACGGGUCAG